This 328-nucleotide long non-coding RNA is filed under the name Elaeis guineensis (African oil palm). RNAcentral's name for it is "long non-coding RNA (EGUI_LNC073112)". Lineage: Eukaryota; Viridiplantae; Streptophyta; Magnoliopsida; Arecales; Arecaceae. The record is from RNAcentral.
AGGGGCUCAGAGUUUCAGUGAGAGGAGUCCUGUCUCAGCUAGUGCCAUUAGGACUCAACUUCAGUCCAAACUCUCUGUAUCCACUAAGCUUACUUUUGUUCAACUUAUCACCUUCCAUCCCAUGACCUCUUCUACUCAGAUCAGACCAUCCAAUCGAGGCCAAGGCUGAUUCUAUUUCAGAGUCAUUCCCUCAAUUUGUUCUGAUCUUGAGCUCGAUGCCCAUUCUCCCUGAUCUAAUCAUUUUAUAUUAGCUGUUUUAGGUCUCAUAUUACUUAGUUGUUGUAUUUUGUUUUAGUUGUUAUAUUUUGUUGAAUGUAUGAGAGCCUUA